AACGCAUUAUCAGUUCCCCCUCCUAACUGGGGAUGUUACAAGGUCCCAUGAAGAAUUUCAAGGGCUAAACUCUGAGGCUUUUGUUCAUAUAAACACAGCUUAGCAAAACAAUUACUGUUUUCUUUCUUUGUUCAGUAACUGCACAGUGCGGCUUGUACUCAGAUAUCUUCCUUUAAUCGAAAUAAUUUGGGUGUUCUACCCAAGGUUGUAGGAGAGGACGAUUCGCCUUACAACCUUGAAAUAUUUUCAUUUUCACUCCUCCAAGCACAGUUUUCUAGGCAAGAGCAUUUCAAACCAUUGUCAGAAUUCACAGGAAGAAAUAAAAGGGGGAAAGUCUCUCUGCUCCCCUGCCUACCCAGUCCCUCCUCCACCCCAACACACACACACACAAGAAAAGGGAAGAGGCAUCCAAGGUUCACAUGAUUCUCGUGCUUCAGCCUCCCAAGCAGCUGAGACUACAGGAACACACCACCACGCCAGGAGAAUUUCUGUAUUUUUUUAGUAGAGAUAAGGUUUCACUAUGUUGGCCAGGCUGUUCUCGAACUCCUGACCUCAAGUGAUCCGCCCGCCUUGGCUUCCUAAAGGGCUGGGAUUACAAAUGGGAGCCACCGUGCCUGGCCUGGUCUGAUGUUUUUCUGAGGCAUAAUUGAAAUUGAGGUUCAAGGAUAGUGCGUUGGGGCAGCAUUGCAUUGGGACCUUGUACUGGGGGCAGAGAGACUGAAUCAACCACUGAAUGGAAACUUGGAGAGAAAAGUAAGACGAAAAAAGAAGAAUAUUGAAUUUCCUUGAGCCUUCCUGCUCAAAGUGUGGUCCACUGGCCAGGAGCAUUGGCAUCUGCUGAGAGCUCGUUAGAAAUGCAUAACCUCAGGUCUCAACCCAAACCUACCGAAAAGGAACCUGCAUCUUGACAAAAUUCUAUGCACAAGACAAUGUGAGAAGUGCUGACCUGGGGUAUCACCUGGGAGCUUAGAAAAAUGACCUCCGCCUGUUUUCCAUCAUCAGGGCUUCCAGGUCAACUGGUCUGAGGCAGGGCCCAGGUCUGAGUAUGUUUUGGAAGCUCCUCAGGUGAUCUGAAUGAACACCCACAGUUGAGAACCAAUAGAAUACA
This 1108-nucleotide long non-coding RNA is filed under the name Callithrix jacchus (white-tufted-ear marmoset). RNAcentral describes it as "lncRNA (ENSCJAG00000078441.1)". Lineage: Eukaryota; Metazoa; Chordata; Mammalia; Primates; Cebidae. The record is from RNAcentral.